RNAcentral lists this ribosomal RNA (445 nucleotides) under uncultured bacterium. Its description in RNAcentral is "bacterial SSU rRNA". It matches the Rfam family "Bacterial small subunit ribosomal RNA", at positions 32 to 487 of the family's 1533-position model. The record is from RNAcentral.
AAUCAACGCUGGCGGCGUGCCUAACACAUGCAAGUCGCACGAGAAAAUCCCCGCAAGGGGAUGAGUACAGUGGCGUACGGGUGAGUAACACGUGACUAACCUACCCUAAAGUGGGGGGAUAACCUCGGGAAACCGGGGCUAAUACCGCAUACUCUCGCGAGGUGAAGAUCCUUGUGAGCAAAGCCGAAAGGCGCUUAUGGAGGGGGUCGCGGCUGAUUAGCUAGUUGGCGGGGUAAUGGCCCACCAAGGCAAUGAUCAGUAUCCGGCCUGAGAGGGCGCACGGACACACUGGAACUGAAACACGGUCCAGACUCCUACGGGAGGCAGCAGUGGGGAAUUUUGCGCAAUGGGGGAAACCCUGACGCAGCAACGCCGCGUGGAGGAUGAAGUCCCUUGGGACGUAAACUCCUUUCGAUCGGGACGAUUAUGACGGUACCGGAAGAAG